Molecule: ribosomal RNA, 868 nt
Filed under: uncultured archaeon
Lineage: Archaea
Description: bacterial SSU rRNA
Rfam family: Archaeal small subunit ribosomal RNA
Source: RNAcentral
CUCCGGUUGAUCCCGCCGGACCCGACUGCUAUCAGAGUGGGACUAAGCCAUGCGAGUCAACAUAGCAAUAUGUGGCAUACGGCUCAGUAACACGUAGUCAACAUGCCCAGGGGACGUGGAUAACCUCGGGAAACUGAGGAUAAACCGCGAUAGGUCAUCACUUCUGGAAUGGGUAAUGACUUAAAUCUAUAUGGCCCCUGGAUUGGACUGCGGCCGAUCAGGCUGUUGGUGAGGUAAUGGCCCACCAAACCUGUAACCGGUACGGGCUCUGAGAGGAGGAGCCCGGAGAUGGGCACUGAGACAAGGGCCCAGGCCCUAUGGGGCGCAGCAGGCGCGAAACCUCUGCAAUAGGCGAAAGCUUGACAGGGUUACUCUGAGUGAUUUCCGUUAAGGAGAUCUUUUGGCACCUCUAAAAAUGGUGCAGAAUAAGGGGUGGGCAAGUCUGGUGUCAGCCGCCGCGGUAAUACCAGCACCUCGAGUGGUCAGGACGUUUAUUGGGCCUAAAGCAUCCGUAGCCGGCUCUGCAAGUCUUCGGUUAAAUCCACCUGCUCAACAGAUGGGCUGCUGGAGAUACUACAGAGCUAGGGAGUGGGAGAGGCAGACGGUAUUCAGUGGGUAGGGGUAAAAUCCUCUGAUCCAUUGAGGACCACCAGUGGCGAAGGCGGUCUGCCAGAACACGUUCGACGGUGAGGGAUGAAAGCUGGGGGAGCAAACCGGAUUAGAUACCCGGGUAGUCCCAGCUGUAAACGAUGCAAACUCGGUGAUGCGUUGGCUUAUGGCCAAUGCAGUGCCGCAGGGAAGCCGUUAAGUUUGCCACCUGGGGAGUACGGUCGCAAGACUGAAACUUAAAGGAAUUGGCGGGGGAGCA